GGCUUCGUGGUGUAGUGGUGAGCACGCUGGGCGCGUAUCCAGAAGUCCGUGGCUCGAGUCCCGGCGAAGGCA
RNAcentral lists this transfer RNA (72 nucleotides) under Stegodyphus mimosarum. It matches the Rfam family "tRNA". Rfam says of the family: Transfer RNA (tRNA) molecules are approximately 80 nucleotides in length. Their secondary structure includes four short double-helical elements and three loops (D, anti-codon, and T loops). Lineage: Eukaryota; Metazoa; Arthropoda; Arachnida; Araneae; Eresidae. The record is from Rfam by way of RNAcentral.